GGGCCCGCACAAGCAGUGGAGUAUGUGGUUUAAUUCGAAGCAACGCGAAGAACCUUACCAGGUCUUGACAUCCAACUAACGAGGCAGAGAUGCGUCAGGUGCCCUUCGGGGAAAGUUGAGACAGGUGGUGCAUGGUUGUCGUCAGCUCGUGUCGUGAGAUGUUGGGUUAAGUCCCGCAACGAGCGCAACCCCUGCCGAUAGUUGCUACGCAAGAGCACUCUAUCGGGACCGCUACCGACAAGGUGGAGGAAGGUGGGGACGACGUCAAAUCAUCAUGCCCUUUAUGACCUGGGCUACACACGUACUACAAUGGCCGUUAACAACGGGAAGCCAAGCCGCGAGGCGGAGCCAAUCCCCAAAAACGGUCUCAGUUCAGAUUGCAGGCUGCAACCCGCCUGUAUGAAGUCGGAAUUGCUAGUAAUCGCGGAUCAGCAUGCCG
RNAcentral lists this ribosomal RNA (439 nucleotides) under uncultured Bacillota bacterium. Its description in RNAcentral is "bacterial SSU rRNA". It matches the Rfam family "Bacterial small subunit ribosomal RNA", at positions 917 to 1359 of the family's 1533-position model. Lineage: Bacteria; Bacillati; Bacillota. The record is from RNAcentral.